CACCGCCCGUCACAUCACGAAAGUGGGCUGUACUAGAAGUCGGUGGGCUAACCCGCAAGAGAAGCAGCCGCCCAAGGUAUAACUCAUGAUUGGGGUG
Molecule: ribosomal RNA, 97 nt
Filed under: uncultured bacterium
Lineage: Bacteria
Description: partial 16S ribosomal RNA
Rfam family: Bacterial small subunit ribosomal RNA
Source: RNAcentral